UGGUUUGAUUCUGGCUCAGGAUGAACGCUGGCGGCGUGCCUAACACAUGCAAGUCGAGCGAUUUACUUCGGUAAAGAGCGGCGGACGGGUGAGUAACGCGUGGGUAACCUGCCCUGUACACACGGAUAACAUACCGAAAGGUAUGCUAAUACGAGAUAAAAUACUUUUAUCGCAUGGUAGAAGUAUCAAAGUUUUUGCGGUACAGGAUGGACCCGCGUCUGAUUAGCUAGUUGGUAAGGUAACGGCUUACCAAGGCGACGAUCAGUAGCCGACCUGAGAGGGUGAUCGGCCACAUUGGAACUGAGACACGGUCCAAACUCCUACGGGAGGCAGCAGUGGGGAAUAUUGCACAAUGGGCGAAAGCCUGAUGCAGCAACGCCGCGUGAGCGAUGAAGGCCUUCGGGUCGUAAAGCUCUGUCCUCAAGGAAGAUAAUGACGGUACUUGAGGAGGAAGCCCCGGCUAACUACGUGCCAGCAGCCGCGGUAAUACGUAGGGGGCUAGCGUUAUCCGGAAUUACUGGGCGUAAAGGGUGCGUAGGUGGUUUCUUAAGUCAGAGGUGAAAGGCUACGGCUCAACCGUAGUAAGCCUUUGAAACUGGGGAACUUGAGUGCAGGAGAGGAGAGUGGAAUUCCUAGUGUAGCGGUGAAAUGCGUAGAUAUUAGGAGGAACACCAGUUGCGAAGGCGGCUCUCUGGACUGUAACUGACACUGAGGCACGAAAGCGUGGGGAGCAAACAGGAUUAGAUACCCUGGUAGUCCACGCCGUAAACGAUGAGUACUAGCUGUCGGAGGUUACCCCCUUCGGUGGCGCAGCUAACGCAUUAAGUACUCCGCCUGGGAAGUACGCUCGCAAGAGUGAAACUCAAAGGAAUUGACGGGGACCCGCACAAGUAGCGGAGCAUGUGGUUUAAUUCGAAGCAACGCGAAGAACCUUACCUAAGCUUGACAUCCUUUUGACCGAUGCCUAAUCGCAUCUUUCCCUUCGGGGACAGAAGUGACAGGUGGUGCAUGGUUGUCGUCAGCUCGUGUCGUGAGAUGUUGGGUUAAGUCCCGCAACGAGCGCAACCCUUGCCUUUAGUUGCCAGCAUUAAGUUGGGCACUCUAGAGGGACUGCCAGGGAUAACCUGGAGGAAGGUGGGGAUGACGUCAAAUCAUCAUGCCCCUUAUGCUUAGGGCUACACACGUGCUACAAUGGGUGGUACAGAGGGCAGCCAAGUCGUGAGGCGGAGCUAAUCCCUUAAAGCCAUUCUCAGUUCGGAUUGUAGGCUGAAACUCGCCUACAUGAAGCUGGAGUUACUAGUAAUCGCAGAUCAGAAUGCUGCGGUGAAUGCGUUCCCGGGUCUUGUACACACCGCCCGUCACACCACGGAAGUUGGGGGCGCCCGAAGCCACUUAGCUAACCCUUUUGGGAAGCGAGUGUCGAAGGUGAAAUCAAUAACUGGGGGGAAGUCGUAAAAAGGUAGCC
RNAcentral lists this ribosomal RNA (1465 nucleotides) under uncultured bacterium. RNAcentral describes it as "partial 16S ribosomal RNA". It matches the Rfam family "Bacterial small subunit ribosomal RNA". The record is from RNAcentral.